UACGUAGGGUGCAAGCGUUGUCCGGAAUUAUUGGGCGUAAAGAGCUCGUAGGCGGUCUGUUACGUCGGCUGUGAAAACCUGGGGCUCAACCCCGAGCCUGCAGUGGAUACGGGCAGACUAGAGGUAGGUAGGGGAGAAUGGAAUUCCCGGUGUAGCGGUGAAAUGCGCAGAUAUCGGGAGGAACACCGGUGGCGAAGGCGGUUCUCUGGGCCUUACCUGACGCUGAGGAGCGAAAGCGUGGGGAGCGAACAGG
RNAcentral lists this ribosomal RNA (253 nucleotides) under uncultured bacterium. Its description in RNAcentral is "partial 16S ribosomal RNA". It matches the Rfam family "Bacterial small subunit ribosomal RNA", at positions 524 to 776 of the family's 1533-position model. The record is from RNAcentral.